AACGAACGCUGGCGGCAGGCCUAACACAUGCAAGUCGAACGCUCCGCAAGGGGGAGUGGCGCACGGGUGAGUAACACGUGGGAACCUACCUUCUGGUACGGAACAACCAAGGGAAACUUUGGCUAAGACCGUAUACGACCUCCGGGUGAAAGAUUGAUCGCCGGAAGAGGGGCCCGCGUCCGAUUAGGUAGUUGGUGAGGUAACGGCUCACCAAGCCUUCGAUCGGUAGCUGGUCUGAGAGGAUGACCAGCCACACUGGGGACUGAGACACGGCCCAGACUCCUACGGGAGGCAGCAGUGGGGAAUAUUGGACAAUGGGCGCAAGCCUGAUCCAGCCAUGCCGCGUGAGUGAUGAAGGCC
RNAcentral lists this ribosomal RNA (360 nucleotides) under uncultured bacterium. RNAcentral describes it as "bacterial SSU rRNA". It matches the Rfam family "Bacterial small subunit ribosomal RNA", at positions 29 to 416 of the family's 1533-position model. The record is from RNAcentral.